CGCCUGGGGAGUACGGGUGAGGUAACGGCUCACCAAGGCAUCGACGGGUAGCUGGUCUGAGAGGAUGAUCAGCCGCACUGGGACUGAGACACGGCCCAGACUCCUACGGGAGGCAGCAGUAGGGAAUAUUGCACAAUGGGCGAAAGCCUGAUGCAGCAACGCCGCGUGCGGGAAGAAGGCCCUAGGGUUGUAAACCGCUUUCAGCAGGGAAGAAAAUGACGGUACCUGCAGAAGAAGGUGCGGCCAACUACGUGCCAGCAGCCGCGGUGACACGUAGGCACCAAGCGUUGUCCGGAUUUAUUGGGCGUAAAGAGCUCGUAGGCGGUUCAGUAAGUCGGGUGUGAAAACUCUGGGCUCAACCCAGAGACGCCACUCGAUACUGCUGUGACUCGAGUGCGGUAGGGGAGCGGGGAAUUCCUAGUGUAGCGGUGAAAUGCGCAGAUAUUAGGAGGAACACCAGUGGCGAAGGCGCCGCUCUGGGCCGUAACUGACGCUGAGGAGCGAAAGCGUGGGUAGCAAACAGGAUUAGAUACCCUGGUAGUCCACGCCGUAAACGUUGGGCACUAGGUGUGGGUCUCAACCAACGAGAUCCGCGCCGUCGCUAACGCAUUAAGUGCCCCGCCUGGGGAGUACGG
This 635-nucleotide ribosomal RNA is filed under the name uncultured Actinomycetes bacterium. RNAcentral describes it as "bacterial SSU rRNA". It matches the Rfam family "Bacterial small subunit ribosomal RNA", at positions 234 to 885 of the family's 1533-position model. The record is from RNAcentral. Lineage: Bacteria; Bacillati; Actinomycetota; Actinomycetes.